GGCGAACGCUGGCGGCGUGCUUAACACAUGCAAGUCGAACGGAAAGGCCCUGCUUUUGUGGUGUGCUCGAGUGGCGAACGGGUGAGUAACACGUGAGUAACCUGCCCUUGACUUUGGGAUAACUUCAGGAAACUGGGGCUAAUACCGGAUAGGAGCUCCUGCUGCAUGGUGGGGGUUGGAAAGUUUCGGCGGUUGGGGAUGGACUCGCGGCUUAUCAGCUUGUUGGUGGGGUAGUGGCUUACCAAGGCUUUGACGGGUAGCCGGCCUGAGAGGGUGACCGGCCACAUUGGGACUGAGAGACGGCCCAGACUCCUACGGGAGGCAGCAGUGGGGAAUAUUGCACAAUGGGCGGAAGCCUGAUGCAGCAACGCCGCGUGCGGGAUGACGGCCUUCGGGUUGUAAACCGCUUUCGCCUGUGACGAAGCGUGAGUGACGGUAAUGGGUAAAGAAGCACCGGCUAACUACGUG
RNAcentral lists this ribosomal RNA (468 nucleotides) under uncultured bacterium. Its description in RNAcentral is "partial 16S ribosomal RNA". It matches the Rfam family "Bacterial small subunit ribosomal RNA", at positions 28 to 507 of the family's 1533-position model. The record is from RNAcentral.